GUCCUGAUUCAGGGCUGGGAGAAACGCAGCGCACCCAGGAGCAUGUCCCGGGGCCAAGGCUCCAAUCCUUGCAGAGACAAAGAAUCUGGAUUAAAUACAAAUGACCCAGUUCAAUCAAUCCCUGGCAUUCACUGAGAAUUCAGGAAACAAAUCUAAAACAGAACAACAAAGAACUGAUAUAAUUGCCACGAUGAAGCUGGGGCUGCAGGGAUUACCUCUGUGGAAUUAAGGGAAGCUGAUAAGAUUCUCCUCCUCCAUAAGGAUUAUUACAAGAGCGAUUGGGACUCGGGGAAAGAAAGCGGUUUGAACAGUAAGACUGCAAAGUCCUGAAAGAGGUUACUUGAAGCAAUUGGGAAAUCCUGAAAGCACCUAUCUGGAAGCUUUGGCUGAGACCAGGCCCAGAAGGACAGACAGACAGCACGUUCCUCUCCGGCUCUGUCCUUCUGCAGGGAAACUGAAGAUGGGUGUGUUUUGACCCAGAAUCCGCAGGGUUAGAGUUGAAUUUUACAAAUCACUUCAGGAUGCAGCGUUGAGACGGAAGACUUAGGAUUGGAGAAUUAAUUUUCUCUUCCUCCUGAGUAAAGCAGCUCUUCCUAAAGCUGAGAAUCUUAGCAGAAUGAAUAAACCAAAUGGCAGCAGUCCGGUAAGCACUGUAUGACCCUAAUCAUUCUGACCAUUUUGUACCACGUUUUACAGUGGCCUGAUUAAAUAGGAGAGAAUCCACGUGACAUGGUGCUCCUGAGAACAAAGCUAAAGUAUGCCAAUCAAACCAUGUGCCCUGGAGGAAAAACUUGGGGCACUCUCUUCUAGCAGCUAAUAAAAAAUAGGACAACACUUGAAUUCUACACGGAGAACUGUUUCUUACAUUUAGUUGAUACAGUAAGAAGUAACCAGCUACAGAGAAAUCACAAGAUCUGGAUUAGACCAGAACAUUUGUUUAUUAAAAUGUAAUUUAAGUAAUCAGAACCUUGUGAAUGUUUCAAACUGGAAACCCUAGAAAAUCUAAGUUUUCUCAUGAGAUAUUUUCUAGUAAACACUUCCAUUGCCCAGUCACACCUAUAAAGUGAGUAUGCACCUGUGUAUGAUCCCAUAAGAGCACUUUUAAAGUAACAAAACCACUAUAAUA
Molecule: long non-coding RNA, 1126 nt
Filed under: Homo sapiens (human)
Lineage: Eukaryota; Metazoa; Chordata; Mammalia; Primates; Hominidae
Description: HSALNT0116371
Source: RNAcentral